CUGUAGGUGGCUCUGGCGCGUGCGCAGAGCUGAGGCUGCACCCACGCCCUUCUCGCAAAGUUCCUGACCUACGGGCGCGCCAGGUUGAGGCGCGCAGCUGCCGGCGGAGGAGGGGAGGAACUCAGCUCACUUCUCAGGAAGGGCAGCGAUGCUGUGUCAGUUGGAAGACCCGAGCCCCUCUCCUUCGCGGUCCUUGAGUGCUGCGGUGAGCAUCCUUACCGCUUUCGAUUCCCGGCCGGAGGAGCCUGGCCGUCCCCCCUUCCCGUCUUGGUUCCUGAGGUGAAGCUGAACUCCUCGCUCCUGAGUGGAUUCUGACUUCUGGGUGCAAGGAGCCCGGUCGUGUCUGCCUCGGGUGGGACAGGUGUUGCCGGGCACACUCGCUCCAUACCGGCUUACCGGGAAGCGCAGAUUCAGGUGGUCAGGCUCAGAAUGGACGAUGAGCUUUCAAAAAUGAAAAAGAUGGAAAUCACCAACCAUGCUGCCACCUGAAUCAGUGUUUCUUUGUUGCAUUCAUACAGAGUAAAAGAAAAUUAUAUUCCUGCAUUAUAUAAUCUACCAACGACCUACUUACCUACUGUUUUAAUCUAGGUUAUUCUUGAAAGCAGAGCCUAUGACAAAUAUAGACACAUUCUUUUGGGAAAUCUGAUCCCAGGGAGCAGGAAUGAAAGAUAGAGGAGUGAAUAGGGAGAAGGAGGAAAGAAGACCCAAGCCAAAUAAGGUAGUGUUCUCUACAGUCCAUUCCUGUUAAUGGUUACAUAAUACAGAAACAUCCUAAGAUUCUUACUAAAUUUUGUUUCAGUGUUCUUCUGCCAGUGGGAUAAAAAGCAGAAAUACUUCUCUGUCAGAACAUUUGUUCUCUGUUAAAGCUGGUCCCACGGGGUUUUAACUCCCCUACCCCUCUGGGCCUCAAGACAAUGUUUGUAGGACUAUGGCAGCAUACAUUGCUGCAUUAGAGAAGCUUUGGGAUAGGAGGCUGGGUUCUUGGUACAUGCUACAGUUAGGCAGUCUCAGCACAGAUCAGGGUAAACCUUCUAGAACUGUUUACCAGACCUAUGGCUACAAUCAUAUGUUGAAAACAUGAGACAGUACUCAAGAGACAUAAAUCCAUAUAACUUGCUGUUAGACCUGUCUAAAUCUGCCUGCUCGCUCGCUUCUUUCUGUAAUCAGAAGUCAGUGUGUAUGAUAAGGUUGACAAAAGGGUGAAAUAAGAAUGUUAAUAUGUUAGAAGUUGUGUGUUUAUGGCAGUUUUAAUCUUGAGUCAUGUUUGUAAGAAAGAGAAUGUGACAGUGGAACCUGGAAAAUUUAAAAAAUGAUUCUUCACCAUUGAGAAGAGAUAUUAGAUGUCUUCUGAUCUCAUGCAGUUUCAGAAACAGUUGUAAAUUUUUUGGAGAAAAAUGAAAAAUAAAAUUAACCAUUUCUUGUUUCUUCCAUGA
This is a long non-coding RNA of Heterocephalus glaber (naked mole-rat), 1433 nucleotides long. RefSeq lists it as uncharacterized. The record is from RefSeq and is a predicted model, not a curated record. Lineage: Eukaryota; Metazoa; Chordata; Mammalia; Rodentia; Bathyergidae.